CGCUACAAAAACCUUAAUAUAGUUCUUAUUGGAAAAUCAAAUGUGUCUUCUUCUUCUCCCUGCACGUAUUAGGCCUAGUGGCCUGUUACGAUCUCACACCAUCUGCGAUGAGGUCUAUCAAUGUGUCGUUAAAAAAAUUAAAUGUGUAUAUUUGUUAAAAAACGAGUUUUCUAUUUUUCCCGAAAAUUUCAUUGGAGGAAACAGGUAUAUAUACAGGGUGAUCAGCGAAUGGGCCCUGAUUUAAAAAUUGGGUAUCUCUGCAACAGGGAUCGGUGGAGUUGUGCGGUGGGCUGUGCGUUUAUUGGCAAAACUGUGAAGGUGGUG
This 324-nucleotide long non-coding RNA is filed under the name Androctonus crassicauda. Lineage: Eukaryota; Metazoa; Arthropoda; Arachnida; Scorpiones; Buthidae. The record is from RNAcentral.